RNAcentral lists this ribosomal RNA (442 nucleotides) under uncultured bacterium. RNAcentral describes it as "partial 16S ribosomal RNA". It matches the Rfam family "Bacterial small subunit ribosomal RNA", at positions 338 to 795 of the family's 1533-position model. The record is from RNAcentral.
CCUACGGGGGGCAGCAGUAGGGAAUCUUUCACAAUGGGCGAAAGCCUGAUGGAGCAACGCCGCGUGCAGGAUGAAGGCCUUCGGGUUGUAAACUGCUUUUAUAAGCGAGAAAUAUGAUGGUAACUUAUGAAUAAGGAUCGGCUAACUACGUGCCAGCAGCCGCGGUCAUACGUAGGAUCCGAGCAUUAUCCGGAGUGACUGGGUGUAAAGAGUUGCGUAGGUGGCAUAAUAAGUAGCUAGUGAAAUCUGGUGGCGCAACCAUUCAGACUAUUAGCUAAACUGUUAAGCUCGAGACCGUUAGGGGUAACUGGAAUGUCUAGUGUAGGAGUGAAAUCCGUAGAUAUUAGAAGGAACACCAAUAGCGUAGGCAGGUUGCUGGGACGGUUCUGACACUAAGGCACGAAAGCGUAGGGAGCAAACGGGAUUAGAUACCCCAGUAGUC